GUGCUCACAUUAGCAGCAUAUAUACUAAAAUUGGAGCAAUACAGAGAUUAGCAUGGUCCCUGCACAAGAAUGACAAGCAAAUUUGUGAAGCACUCCACAAUUUU
Molecule: small nuclear RNA, 104 nt
Organism: Marmota marmota marmota (Alpine marmot)
Lineage: Eukaryota; Metazoa; Chordata; Mammalia; Rodentia; Sciuridae
Source: Ensembl